RNAcentral lists this transfer RNA (81 nucleotides) under Elsinoe ampelina. RNAcentral's name for it is "tRNA-Asp". It matches the Rfam family "tRNA". From Rfam's summary of the family: Transfer RNA (tRNA) molecules are approximately 80 nucleotides in length. Their secondary structure includes four short double-helical elements and three loops (D, anti-codon, and T loops). Further hydrogen bonds mediate the characteristic L-shaped molecular structure. tRNAs have two regions of fundamental functional importance: the anti-codon, which is responsible for specific mRNA codon recognition, and the 3' end, to which the tRNAs corresponding amino acid is attached (by aminoacyl-tRNA synthetases). tRNAs cope with the degeneracy of the genetic code in two manners: having more than one tRNA (with a specific anti-codon) for a particular amino acid; and 'wobble' base-pairing, i.e. permitting non-standard base-pairing at the 3rd anti-codon position. Lineage: Eukaryota; Fungi; Ascomycota; Dothideomycetes; Myriangiales; Elsinoaceae. RNAcentral also lists the same sequence under 1 other name. The record is from RNAcentral.
UCCUCAUUGGUCUAGUGGUGAUGAUUUCCGCUUGUCAUUCGAUAAGCGCGGGAGACCAGGGUUCGAUUCCCUGAUGGGGAG